Molecule: unclassified non-coding RNA, 371 nt
Filed under: Hevea brasiliensis (rubber tree)
Lineage: Eukaryota; Viridiplantae; Streptophyta; Magnoliopsida; Malpighiales; Euphorbiaceae
Source: RNAcentral
GAAAAAAACACCAAAGCAUAUAGUCCUGCUUUUGGCACAUUUUCAUAGUCAUAAAUAUUUGAGAAAACACAAAAAAACCCUAAAGUGUAGGUACCAAGUGAUUAACAAUAUGAUAACUCAAAUAGUUCCUUUUGAUGACAGAGAGGAGGAGAAGAGGUUCUCCAAAAAAUUAACAUGUUACAUCCUCUGUCUCACAAUGCAUUAAACUAUACUACAUGUCACAACCCAAUAAUUUUACAAAACAAUAAGCUACCUCUUCCAACACGAAAUUAACUCUCAAUCAUAUAUCUUAUAACCUAAAUAUAUUCUCACAAGUACCACAACAAUUCAUUUUUCUCAUCAUCUCCAUUAUGUCAAAUUCUAGAUCAUUU